Molecule: ribosomal RNA, 301 nt
Filed under: uncultured bacterium
Lineage: Bacteria
Description: partial 16S ribosomal RNA
Rfam family: Bacterial small subunit ribosomal RNA
Source: RNAcentral
CAGCAGCCGCGGUAAUACGUAGGUGGCAAGCGUUGUCCGGAAUUACUGGGCGUAAAGCGUGCGCAGGCGGUUUUGUAAGACAGGCGUGAAAUCCCCGGGCUCAACCUGGGAAUGGCGCUUGUGACUGCAAAGCUAGAGUGCGGCAGAGGGGGAUGGAAUUCCGUGUGUAGCAGUGAAAUGCGUAGAUAUGCGGAGGAACACCGAUGGCGAAGGCAAUCCCCCUGGGCCUGCACUGACGCUCAUGCACGAAAGCGUGGGGAGCAAACAGGAUUAGAUACCCCAGUAGUCCCUGUCUCUUAUA